This 429-nucleotide ribosomal RNA is filed under the name Fusobacteriota bacterium. RNAcentral describes it as "Fusobacteria bacterium partial 16S ribosomal RNA". It matches the Rfam family "Bacterial small subunit ribosomal RNA", at positions 355 to 776 of the family's 1533-position model. Lineage: Bacteria; Fusobacteriati; Fusobacteriota. The record is from RNAcentral.
UGGGGAAUCUUCCGCAAUGGACGAAAGUCUGACGGAGCAACGCCGCGUGAGUGAAGACGGCCCUCGGGUUGUAAAGCCCUGUGACCCGGGACGAAAGAGCCUGAGGUGAAUAGCCUAAGGAAGCGACGGUACCGGAAAAGCAAGCCACGGCUAACUACGUGCCAGCAGCCGCGGUAAUACGUAGGUGGCAAGCGUUGUCCGGAAUUAUUGGGCGUAAAGCGCGCGCAGGCGGCUUCCUAAGUCCAUCUUAAAAGUGCGGGGCUUAACCCCGUGAUGGGAUGGUAACUGGGAAGCUGGAGUAUCGGAGAGGGAAGUGGAAUUCCUAGUGUAGCGGUGAAAUGCGUAGAGAUUAGGAAGAGCACCGGAGGAGAAGGCGACUGUCUGGACGAAAGCUGACGCUGAGGCGCGAAAGAGUGGGGAGCAAACAGG